Molecule: ribosomal RNA, 661 nt
Filed under: Enterobacter hormaechei
Lineage: Bacteria; Pseudomonadati; Pseudomonadota; Gammaproteobacteria; Enterobacterales; Enterobacteriaceae
Also listed under: 2 other names
Description: bacterial SSU rRNA
Rfam family: Bacterial small subunit ribosomal RNA
Source: RNAcentral
CCUGGGGAGUACGGCCGCAAGGUUAAAACUCAAAUGAAUUGACGGGGGCCCGCACAAGCGGUGGAGCAUGUGGUUUAAUUCGAUGCAACGCGAAGAACCUUACCUACUCUUGACAUCCAGAGAACUUAGCAGAGAUGCUUUGGUGCCUUCGGGAACUCUGAGACAGGUGCUGCAUGGCUGUCGUCAGCUCGUGUUGUGAAAUGUUGGGUUAAGUCCCGCAACGAGCGCAACCCUUAUCCUUUGUUGCCAGCGGUCCGGCCGGGAACUCAAAGGAGACUGCCAGUGAUAAACUGGAGGAAGGUGGGGAUGACGUCAAGUCAUCAUGGCCCUUACGAGUAGGGCUACACACGUGCUACAAUGGCGCAUACAAAGAGAAGCGACCUCGCGAGAGCAAGCGGACCUCAUAAAGUGCGUCGUAGUCCGGAUUGGAGUCUGCAACUCGACUCCAUGAAGUCGGAAUCGCUAGUAAUCGUGGAUCAGAAUGCCACGGUGAAUACGUUCCCGGGCCUUGUACACACCGCCCGUCACACCAUGGGAGUGGGUUGCAAAAGAAGUAGGUAGCUUAACCUUCGGGAGGGCGCUUACCACUUUGUGAUUCAUGACUGGGGUGAAGUCGUAACAAGGUAACCGUAGGGGAACCUGCGGUUGGAUCACCUCCUUA